UGACGACUGAAUAUAAUGGCUGAUGUCGUUCUUAAUCUGUCUAAUUCUCGCUCCAAUUUCAUGGCUGUUGUGAAGGUUUUUUAAUUGUCAUUGCUGCUGAGUUUGCCAUUGCUUUUUCCUCUUUGUUCAUUUUAUUGUUUCGGCUAUGUAAGUUCUCUUUUUUAAAUAAUAUACUUUGUAAAAGAAUGUGAUGUAUUACAAAGUUCUUAAUAUUUUUCUUUUUAAUAACUUGCAGUUGUUGUAUUGUUGUCUUUUUUUUGUGCUGCUGUCUGCUGCCUGCUGCUGAAUACUGCUGCAGCCGAUAAAUU
Molecule: long non-coding RNA, 308 nt
Filed under: Nicotiana benthamiana
Lineage: Eukaryota; Viridiplantae; Streptophyta; Magnoliopsida; Solanales; Solanaceae
Description: long non-coding RNA (NBEN_LNC040958)
Source: RNAcentral